AAGAAAUUAGUUAAUUUUAUAACAUUAACUUGUCAUGUUAAAAUUAUCUUAUAAAGAUAUUUCUUA
RNAcentral lists this transfer RNA (66 nucleotides) under Leptomithrax sp. QNL-2021. RNAcentral describes it as "tRNA-Asp". Lineage: Eukaryota; Metazoa; Arthropoda; Malacostraca; Decapoda; Majidae. The record is from RNAcentral.